This 379-nucleotide ribosomal RNA is filed under the name uncultured bacterium. RNAcentral describes it as "bacterial SSU rRNA". It matches the Rfam family "Bacterial small subunit ribosomal RNA", at positions 521 to 898 of the family's 1533-position model. The record is from RNAcentral.
UAAUACGUAGGUGGCAAGCGUUGUCCGGAAUUAUUGGGCGUAAAGCGCGCGCAGGCGGUCCUUUAAGUCUGAUGUGAAAUCUUGCGGCUCAACUGCAAGCGGUCAUUGGAAACUGGGGGACUUGAGUGCAGAAGAGGAAAGCGGAAUUCCACGUGUAGCGGUGAAAUGCGUAGAGAUGUGGAGGAACACCAGUGGCGAAGGCGGCUUUCUGGUCUGUAACUGACGCUGAGGCGCGAAAGCGUGGGGAGCAAACAGGAUUAGAUACCCUGGUAGUCCACGCCGUAAACGAUGAGUGCUAAGUGUUGGAGGGUUUCCGCCCUUCAGUGCUGCAGCUAACGCAUUAAGCACUCCGCCUGGGGAGUACGGUCGCAAGACUGAA